Ornithorhynchus anatinus (platypus) is the source of this 72-nucleotide non-coding RNA. Lineage: Eukaryota; Metazoa; Chordata; Mammalia; Monotremata; Ornithorhynchidae. The record is from Rfam.
AGCAGUGUGGCUCAGUGGAAAGAGCCCUGACUUGGGAGUCAGAGGUCAUGGGUUCGAGUCCCGGCUCUGCCA